Ananas comosus (pineapple) is the source of this 47-nucleotide non-coding RNA. NCBI's taxonomy places the organism in Eukaryota, Viridiplantae, Streptophyta, Magnoliopsida, Poales, Bromeliaceae. The record is from Rfam.
UAACCGGCACUUUUGAGUGCCACAAAAUUGUGCCGAGAAAAAUUUUU